AUAAUAAUAAUCAAGUUUCACCCUUGAGCUGAGGGAUGGGGAGGGGGGGAGGGACUCAAACGGUGGCUCUGGGACACCUUCAGCGGCCGGUUGGUGCCUUCGGCCUCUGAGGGGAGGAAGAGGAGGAGGAGGAAGAUGAGGAAAAGGAGGAGGAAGAUGAUGAGGAGGAGGAUGAGGAGGACGAGCAGCAGCCGCCCUGCAUGGGGGCGCCCCUCUCCGCCUCCACAGAGCGGGCACGGGGCCGCGUGUGAGGGAAGAGGAGGAGGAGGGUGAUGUGGAUGAUGAUGAUGAUGAAGGUGAGGAGGAGGAGGAAGAUGAGGAGGAGGCGCGGUGUAGCACCCCUGGACCAUGACCCUGAAGACCAGAAGAGUGGAGACACCGAGCACCUUUUGGAGACCACCAAUAUUUGUGUAAAUUCACUGAUUUCUCCCUCCCGACCAUCUCGGAGGUCUUCUCCAACCUUGACGCUUCGGUGAUGUCAGGCUCCGGUGAGGCCAUCAGAGGAUCUCAGGAUCUUUUCUGACAGCCACCUGAGCUGAAAUGCUGGAGGCUGCUUCCAUGUGCUGUCUGCGUGCCCCGUGGUGGAUGAUUUCAGUCUAAAAAGUUGCCCCUAAGUGCCUUGUGGGGCCGUAAUUGGGAGCACCAACCUAAAGUUCCUCAAGCUUUUCCUUAUUGCCUCUGUCACUCCAUCUCAUUU
Long non-coding RNA from Anas platyrhynchos (mallard), 697 nucleotides. RefSeq lists it as uncharacterized. The record is from RefSeq and is a predicted model, not a curated record. NCBI's taxonomy places the organism in Eukaryota, Metazoa, Chordata, Aves, Anseriformes, Anatidae.